Molecule: long non-coding RNA, 333 nt
Organism: Homo sapiens (human)
Lineage: Eukaryota; Metazoa; Chordata; Mammalia; Primates; Hominidae
Gene: MYCBP2-AS1
Product: MYCBP2 antisense RNA 1
Source: Ensembl
AUCUAACUCCAGUCCAAUAUCCCCUAAGAAGCCUUCUCUGACCACUCCAGGGCACAAUGAUCUCAAGGUUCAGCAUCUCCAGAGAUGAGCUUUCCAAAUACCUGAUGAAGAUAUGCAUGUGAGAAGGAAUUAAUGACAGGCAUUAACACUAUAUUGGCCAGAGGACUCAUUAGCUGAUUCCGCAGGAGUCAGUGAUGCCACAAAAUGCCACAGAAUAUCAUGGAGAGAAGUGGUUUGGAUGACAUUACACAGAAGCCAGUUGAAAGCCUGAAGAAAUGACGGUUAAAUGAGUUCAAGAAUAAAAUACAUGAGUUUAAAAAGUACUCAGAAAUA